Molecule: long non-coding RNA, 915 nt
Filed under: Capsicum annuum
Lineage: Eukaryota; Viridiplantae; Streptophyta; Magnoliopsida; Solanales; Solanaceae
Description: long non-coding RNA (CANN_LNC013460)
Source: RNAcentral
UCUCAUCGUAUAAAAUAAUCAUCAAACUCGAUCCACGUGGUCUGCUACUACUGGAGUUGAAUUUGUAAAGUUACAUAAAAAGAGAAGGGAAGAAGGGAAUUAGUACAACAUAACCUGUAAGUCUCAUAGACCAUCACCUAAAGGCCGUGGCAAGGCUUUAUGCAUUACAGAAAAUUAAUGUGUGCCACAAAUCCUUGGAAGCCACACGUCGCUUAAAACUGAUAAUUUAGUGGUAAUUUGCGAUAGAGGAACCGAAAUGAAAUCCUAAGAGUUCAAUCCUUCUGGCCUUGAACUCCUUUCCUAAUGUUCUUCUGAAUCAGAAUAACUCUCCCCGACUGAGAAGAAACAAAAAGGGUCAGUAGAAGUUCGACAAGUCACAUUAUUCAGAUGCAGAUUUAGAACAUGUUCAAUCAAACUCACAUCUUUCAACUCAACGUCAUGUGAGCACACACAUACAUUUUUUGGAGAGCUAAAUUGCUUAUAUUACAUCUUAACUAACAAUUAUUUACUAAUUCAAAAAAUGAGCUGCAAAUAUUGAUGUAUAAUUUUAUAGACUCUAUAUAAUAUUAUUUACUCUAUAAUCUUUUUGACAAUAUUAUAUGUGUUUUUUAAAAAAAAAAAAUUAAUUUCUAUAUGGGAUAUAGACACAACACGCUUCAUAGAGACUAUAAAACCAAAGAUAUACAUUUACAUUUAUGAAUAAACAUCGUGUGACGAACUAGCAUCAACAGUCUAUAACAGUAUCAAAUUGUUAAUCCAUUGUUUCCCUUCUCAAUAUAGGUUAGAGUAAAGCAUCUAGUACCCUCCUAAACUAUGACCAAAUUUUCUACAACAUACUCCCACUUCAUGGGGUCUCUAUUACCCCCGAACAAAAUUUUAGCAUAUUUUCACCAACCUUUUUAGCUGAUGUGGCAC